Molecule: long non-coding RNA, 719 nt
Organism: Leptinotarsa decemlineata (Colorado potato beetle)
Lineage: Eukaryota; Metazoa; Arthropoda; Insecta; Coleoptera; Chrysomelidae
Source: RefSeq, a predicted model, not a curated record
UACGAUAAUAUUUGAGCUUUUGGAUUAGUUAAUUAGAAACCUUACUUCUCUUGGAAGAUUAUUCACUUUUUCUUAAAAAUGUUCAUGAGCUAGUUUUAAAUGGUGCAUUUUUUAUGUAUCAUGAUGCAUGCGUCAUAGUGGAAUUGAAACGCAUACUCAAUUACAUGCGGUUUUUUGAGUUGACGCAAAGUUUCUAGAAAUGAUUGACAAUUUACGUGUAUUAUAUUUAGGUAUCUACACUUUUUCGCAAAAAUUGAACGAAACAAUGAAACACUGUUAAAAUUAUCAAGUCACGUAUUUAUGGCGGUUUGAAGACCCUAUACUUGUGAGGAUGGUUUUAGCAUUAAACCAUGAGUCAUGUCAAUCGUGGGAUUACAACUUUGUCUGCGUUAGAAUAUGUUAGUAGAUAGACAGAUAGCACAAACAUACGUGGUGGAUGUGAAUGUUUUUAUAAGGAUAUGUGGAUAAAACGUUGUUGUAUCAAAUAUUGCGUGCGUUAACGCACGAUGCUAAAUCAUUUUUCCAGUUGAGCUUUCAGACUUGCCUUCAAACCAUAAUCAUUCAAUGCAUUCGCUAAGAUAUGUUCGCAAACAAAACACAAAACAAUUUUUCAGUUGUGAUUUUUUAUUACUGUCAGAAAAUGACAACUAACAGCAGAUGGUUACUUGCAUGAAAAUAGUGUUAUAAUAAAUUUAAAUAUAUGCAUUAAAAAGAAAAAA